GUGCUCGCUUUGGCAGCACAUACACUAAAAUUGUAACGAUACAGAGAAGAUUAGCAUGGCCCCUGCGCGAGGAUGACGUGCAAAUUCGUGAACCAUUCCAUAUUUUU
RNAcentral lists this small nuclear RNA (107 nucleotides) under Balaenoptera musculus (blue whale). Lineage: Eukaryota; Metazoa; Chordata; Mammalia; Artiodactyla; Balaenopteridae. The record is from RNAcentral.